Molecule: ribosomal RNA, 263 nt
Filed under: uncultured Staphylococcus sp.
Lineage: Bacteria; Bacillati; Bacillota; Bacilli; Caryophanales; Staphylococcaceae
Description: partial 16S ribosomal RNA
Rfam family: Bacterial small subunit ribosomal RNA
Source: RNAcentral
CGGACGGGUGAGUAACACGUGGGUAACCUACCUAUAAGACUGGGACAACUUCGGGAAACCGGAGCUAAUACCGGAUAAGAUAACCGAACCGCAUGGUUCGAUAGUGAAAGAUGGUUUUGCUAUCACUUAUAGAUGGACCCGCGCCGUAUUAGCUAGUUGGUGAGGUAACGGCUCACCAAGGCAACGAUACGUAGCCGACCUGAGAGGGUGAUCGGCCACACUGGAACUGAGACACGGUCCAGACUCCUACGGAGGCAGCAGUG